Molecule: ribosomal RNA, 407 nt
Filed under: uncultured bacterium
Lineage: Bacteria
Description: partial 16S ribosomal RNA
Rfam family: Bacterial small subunit ribosomal RNA
Source: RNAcentral
AUUGAACGCUGGCGGCAUGCCUAACACAUGCAAGUCGAACGGCACGUCGGACGGGUGAGUACUGCCUAGGAAUCUGCCUGUUAGUGAGGGAUAAAGUCCGGAGACGGACGCUAAUACCGCAUGCUAUCAAGUGAGCCUAGGUCGGCUUAGCUAGUUGGUGGGGUAAAGGCCUACCAAGGCGACGAUGCGUAGCUGGUCUGAGAGGAUGAUGAGUCACAUUGGAACUGAGACACGGGCCAGACUCCUACGGGAGGCAGCAGUGGGGAAUAUUGGACAAUGGGCGAAAGCCUGAUGCAGCCAUGCCGCGUGUGUGAAGAAGGUCUUCGGAUUGUAAAGUACUUUAAGUUGGGAGGCGUUACCAGCAGAAGAAGCACCGGCUAACUUCGUGCCAGCAGCCGCGGUAAUUC